Molecule: ribosomal RNA, 253 nt
Filed under: uncultured bacterium
Lineage: Bacteria
Description: partial 16S ribosomal RNA
Rfam family: Bacterial small subunit ribosomal RNA
Source: RNAcentral
UACGGAGGGAGCGAACGUUGUUCGGAUUUACUGGGCGUAAAGGGUGUGUAGGCGGUCUUGCAAGUCAGGGGUGAAAUCUCUCGGCUCAACCGGGAAACUGCCUUUGAGACUGCAGGACUUGAGGGCGUGAGAGGAGACUGGAAUUCCUAGUGUAGCGGUGAAAUGCAUAGAUAUUAGGAGGAACACCAGUGGCGAAGGCGAGUCUCUGGCACGCAUCUGACGCUGAGACACGAAAGCCAGGGGAGCGAACGGG